This 507-nucleotide ribosomal RNA is filed under the name uncultured bacterium. RNAcentral describes it as "bacterial SSU rRNA". It matches the Rfam family "Bacterial small subunit ribosomal RNA", at positions 10 to 507 of the family's 1533-position model. The record is from RNAcentral.
AGUUUGAUCAUGGCUCAGAUUGAACGCUGGCGGAAUGCUUUACACAUGCAAGUCGAACGGCAGCACGGGAGCUUGCUCCUGGUGGCGAGUGGCGAACGGGUGAGUAAUAUAUCGGAACGUACCCCGUCGUGGGGGGAUAACUCUCCGAAAGGAGUGCUAAUACCGCAUACGACCUGAGGGUGAAAGCGGGGGACCUGCAAGGGCCUCGCGCGAUGGGAGCGGCCGAUAUCGGAUUAGCUAGUUGGCGAGGUAAAGGCUCACCAAGGCGAUGAUCCGUAGCGGGUCUGAGAGGACGACCCGCCACACUGGAACUGAGACACGGCCCAGACUCCUACGGGAGGCAGCAGUGGGGAAUUUUGGACAAUGGGCGCAAGCCUGAUCCAGCCAUGCCGCGUGAGUGAAGAAGGCCUUCGGGUUGUAAAGCUCUUUCAGACGGAAAGAAAUCGCGCGCUCUAACAUAGCGCGUGGAUGACGGUACCGUAAGAAGAAGCACCGGCUAACUACGUG